This 30-nucleotide non-coding RNA is filed under the name Mus musculus (house mouse). Lineage: Eukaryota; Metazoa; Chordata; Mammalia; Rodentia; Muridae. RNAcentral also lists the same sequence under 1 other name. The record is from RNAcentral.
UUGGCUUCCAUAUCCUUCCUCAAAACUUCA